GAUGAACGCUGGCGGCGUGCUUAACACAUGCAAGUCGAACGGAAAGGCCCAAGCUUGCUUGGGUCCUCGAGUGGCGAACGGGUGAGUAACACGUGGGUGAUCUGCCCUGCACUUCGGGAUAAGCCUGGGAAACUGGGUCUAAUACCGGAUAGGACGAUGGUUUGGAUGCCAUUGUGGAAAGUUUUUUCGGUGUGGGAUGAGCUCGCGGCCUAUCAGCUUGUUGGUGGGGUAAUGGCCUACCAAGGCGUCGACGGGUAGCCGGCCUGAGAGGGUGUACGGCCACAUUGGGGCUGAGAUACGGCCCAGACUCCUACGGGGGGCAGCAGUGGGGAAUAUUGCACAAUGGGCGCAAGCCUGAUGCAGCGACGCCGCGUGGGGGAUGACGGCCUUCGGGUUGUAAACUCCUUUCGCUAGGGACGAAGCGUUUUUGUGACGGUACCUGGAGAAGAAGCACCGGCUAACUACGUG
This 468-nucleotide ribosomal RNA is filed under the name uncultured bacterium. RNAcentral's name for it is "partial 16S ribosomal RNA". It matches the Rfam family "Bacterial small subunit ribosomal RNA", at positions 28 to 507 of the family's 1533-position model. The record is from RNAcentral.